Phragmites australis (common reed) is the source of this 396-nucleotide long non-coding RNA. RefSeq lists it as uncharacterized. The record is from RefSeq and is a predicted model, not a curated record. Lineage: Eukaryota; Viridiplantae; Streptophyta; Magnoliopsida; Poales; Poaceae. The transcript is spliced from 3 exons.
AAAGAGGAAAGGAUAGGAGAAGCAGCAGCGCAGCGUGUGGAGGGGAGAAGCAGUGCGAGGUGAGGAGUAGCAGCAACACGAGGAGAGGAGAAAUAGCCCAAGACGAGAAGAAGCAGUAGCACGAGUUAGACUUGAAAUCAUUAUCAUGGCUCAUGAUGGUCUUCCUGAGCUUCUUCAACAGCGGUACGAUGACAACCAUAAGGGACAGAUGAUUUUCAUAGGGCAUCAGUUGCUUCUGUUACGAGUUCGGAGUGUCCACAUGAUUAAGGACUUAGACCCUCAAUUGCACGAGCCAGUCGCAUGGGCAGGACUACUACCUUUCGCUCUUAUGAUGGCCAGAGCUCCCAUGGCGGGUGUUAGCAGGACACCUCUCCAGCCAAUUGAGGAGCCACUGCU